Molecule: ribosomal RNA, 374 nt
Filed under: uncultured bacterium
Lineage: Bacteria
Description: bacterial SSU rRNA
Rfam family: Bacterial small subunit ribosomal RNA
Source: RNAcentral
UACGUAGGGUGCGAGCGUUAAUCGGAAUUACUGGGCGUAAAGCGUGCGUAGGUGGUUCGUUGUGUCUGUGGUGAAAGCCCCGGGCUUAACCUGGGAAUGGCCAUGGAAACUGGCGAGCUGGAGUCUGGCAGAGGGGGGUGGAAUUCCGCGUGUAGCAGUGAAAUGCGUAGAGAUGCGGAGGAACACCGAUGGCGAAGGCAGCCCCCUGGGCUAAGACUGACGCUGAGGCACGAAAGCGUGGGGAGCAAACAGGAUUAGAUACCCUGGUAGUCCACGCCCUAAACGAUGUCAACUGGGUGUUCGGGAAGCGAUUCCUGGGUACCGUAGCUAACGCGUGAAGUUGACCGCCUGGGGAGUACGGCCGCAAGGUUAAA